UGAGAAACUGUGAUGACCAAUAAAAUUUCAGCAUUAAUUAAAUAAUCUAAAUAUAGUUCAAAAUGCUCCAAAUAACCCUAGAUAUUUCAUCUUGUGAAUGAACAACAAUUCCAAGUAGAUGAAUAGUUAGAUCCGAUAACUCAAGAAUGUGUAUACAUUACCUUUGUUGAAGAUCGUGUCUGCAAAAGAGGAAAUAUGAAAAUUUUUCCUUUUUGUUGGAUGUCUGAAACCCCCAAUUUUUUUUUUUGAAAGCGUUUCUGAUAUUUCUACCCUGUUCAACGAAGUCAACAAUUCAUCUUAUACAUGACAAGGUGAAUUGUGAGACACGUUUCUCAUCACUGGUAGACAAUAGUUAGCACAUGUUAAGCAUUAAUUACAAAAUCAUUUAGAAGUAACAACUAAUAACAAGUUAUCCAGGAUUCUUUUUUAUCUACUGUAAAAAAUAUCAACUAACGUUAAAAAUCUACUUCUAAUCUUAUCAAUAAAAAUUAAUACUCUGUUCAUUAUUGUUUGUGUGUGAACCGGUGCAGAUAUGGAAAAUUAACAAAUAUUAAUGCAUGAUCACUAAGAGUAAAAGUCAAUAAUCCAAGAAAGCACACAACAUUACCAUCACUACCAGAAGACAGAUAAUCAAAGCAUCUAAUGAAGUAGAAAACCAAUAUUAAGUCGUUAAGUGAAGAUAUUUUACCAUGCACAAGAUAGGGCUUUGUAUAUCUCGCACCUGGACCAACAAGUGCAACCAUCCCACUUGACCAAGUACAAGCACUGUUUUUGACAAAAGGAGAGAUAAUAAUUAACUGCAUAAGACUUGGACUUAGGAAAAGUAAUAUCAUCAGGAAAUUACAAAAAAGAAGAAGUGUGAAUCUACCCUAUAUACAAGGAUGGUACUAAAUUAGAUUUUUGCUGAAAUUGAUCUUGGUUACCAUAUAUCAAACAUCUAAAAAGGAAACAAAGAUGAAUAAUUAAAAGAAGAAAAAAAUCCUUUAAUCAAAUACCCACAAUACGUUGUUUUGAGCAGUUGCAACAUCCAACUAGUUGUUGCAGCCAUUGCCAAGUUAUCCCCUUAAUUACUAAAUCUACCUCUUUUUUUAAUUAAGCCUCCCUUCUUGUGAUCAAUUACAAGUGUGACAAUAUAAUGGGAAACACUUCUCCACAUUAAAAUGACCAAUCAAAUCUCUCAACAGAUGUGUUGAGCUAAUUUUCUGCCUCGCCAAACUUUCACUCAAUAAUUUACUUGCUCUUGGUCUAAAAAUUGGUACUUUUAAGAUACAAUAUACAUGUAACAAAAUUACCAUGUCUACUUUUUCCUAAGGAAGUAAAAACAGCUUUUGAUCAUUGCUUAUAAACUUUUGCAGGAGUAUUUUGGGAGCAGGGGUUUUCCCAAUGCAAGGUAGUGGUUAUGGGUGGCUCCACUAAAGAAAAUAAAAAAAACACCUGACUAAUUAUAGUCGGAGAGUGAUUUUUAUGAAUUACUUGAUUAUUAAUUUUUAGACCAACUGUAGUACAACAUGGGAAUGCAACAAUGUCCAAUUUUUCACAAAACAAAAGAACCAAGGAUCAAAAACAAUAACACUGUCAUAUAAUGGACCUCAGCCCCGUAUCAUAUCUCACUUUAACCUAAAUUUACAUUCGUUCAGUCAAUAGUAGUUAGUAAUCAAGGCCCACACAUGAAUGUGGACAUAUAACCAGGUGUAUAUCAAGUAUUUUAGCCGAUGUCACAGAAGGUAAAAGGAACUUAUUUUUAUCUAACAGAAGUUACAAAUAAAUUAAGACUACAAUUAGCCCUUUUUUUGUUUUUUUGACAGGGAAAUCAAGACUACCAUUUUGCCUACUAAUGGAAAAUCAAAUAACCAUUCUUUGUCAAAAACCAAAAAAUGAAGAAGACCAAAAAAAAGAUAUUAAAAACUGUCGCGCAAACGCUAAAAGAGAAUGAAUUGAUCUUGAAAGACCCUCACAUUCCUUAAUGUACAAAUAUCUCAAAUUUAUUGGGAAACUAAAUAUUGCAUCUCCAGAAUAUCUUCGUAUCUUGUCCUUAACACCAUAUUCUUUAAAACAGAUCAAAAAUAACUAACAUACACAACAUACUACAAUCACCAAUCAAUUUGAGGAUAUGUGAAUACUACUCAGUUAUAAGUAUCACAAACUUCAAAACGAAAAAAUAGCAAAAAGAAAUUUCAGUUAACAAUGAUCUUACCAAACAAAGCUCCACGCAAAGCAACUCUAACCAUCAAAGCCUGAAAUUUGACUAAGAAACAAAUAUCAGAAUAAGGACAGACUUCAAAUUUACAAAUCAACUAAUGAAGCUACUGAGUCAGCAUAUAACAAAACUACCAUUCCCUCUUUACUUUUCACCUAGCAAAAAAUGAUAUUACAAAUUUCCAAAAAUGAGAAAUUAAAAAUAAUAUAGAUAUAUAUAAAAACAAAAAAGUCAAAUAUUGUAACCUUAAAAAAUCAAAUAAAAGAAAAUUGAAACCACUGUAAACUUUACCUAAUUUAACCCAAUAAACCCGUUAGGGUGGUUUAAUUAAUUAAAGUAUGAGAAACCAAAAAGUUUUCCUAUUUUUUUCCUACCCUCCCUACUGAGAUAAGAAGCAACAACUAGAUCGAUAGCGCAUAAUAGUCUGUUAUGUUUUUUCCAAUUAACAUUCGGGGACCUUAGUGAAUCAAAUACUAAAGGAAAAUCGAAACCACAUUAACCCCACCCAUAAACACAAUGGUACUGGUAAUUUGGAAGGGUUUUGCAAGAAUGUCGCUUAAAGGAAAUGUACAUACAGAUAUGACCCACUAAACCCUAACCAAAUUUAUUGAAAAAAUCAUAGAAAAAUUGUAGCUUCAAACUGAAAAUAAAUUUGUGAGCUGAUAUUGGAUCCAGUAGAAAGAACAACACUUAAAAUACAGGUGAAAUAGUCGAGAAAACGAUUACAUAGAUUUAAUUAGAUGUAAAUAAAGCUUGACAUGCAUGGAAAUUGGAACGUACUAUCAUUUUGAGAGCAAUUUCCAAGUGUUUUGAGGGGAGGAAUCGAUUGUAGGGCACAGAACUGAGAGCUUGCUUAGUUUAGUGUUGGACAAAAAUGUACAUAGUAGGAAUUAUGAUUUUUG
RNAcentral lists this long non-coding RNA (3099 nucleotides) under Panax ginseng (ginseng). Its description in RNAcentral is "long non-coding RNA (PGIN_LNC007055)". The record is from RNAcentral. Lineage: Eukaryota; Viridiplantae; Streptophyta; Magnoliopsida; Apiales; Araliaceae.